This 273-nucleotide ribosomal RNA is filed under the name uncultured bacterium. RNAcentral describes it as "partial 16S ribosomal RNA". It matches the Rfam family "Bacterial small subunit ribosomal RNA", at positions 523 to 796 of the family's 1533-position model. The record is from RNAcentral.
AUACGGAGGGUGCAAGCGUUGUUCGGAAUUACUGGGCGUAAAGCGCGCGUAGGCGGUCUGUUAUGUCAGAUGUGAAAGUCCUCGGCUCAACCGGGGAAGUGCAUUUGAAACUGGCAGACUUGAGUACUGGAGGGGGUGGUGGAAUUCCCGGUGUAGAGGUGAAAUUCGUAGAUAUCGGGAGGAAUACCGGUGGCGAAGGCGACCACCUGGCCAGAUACUGACGCUGAGGUGCGAAAGCGUGGGAGCAAACAGGAUUAGAAACCCCAGUAGUCC